This 27-nucleotide non-coding RNA is filed under the name Homo sapiens (human). Lineage: Eukaryota; Metazoa; Chordata; Mammalia; Primates; Hominidae. The record is from RNAcentral.
UCUCCUGAAGAACAGAGAGCACGGUGU